RNAcentral lists this ribosomal RNA (481 nucleotides) under Brevibacillus laterosporus. RNAcentral's name for it is "bacterial SSU rRNA". It matches the Rfam family "Bacterial small subunit ribosomal RNA", at positions 9 to 484 of the family's 1533-position model. The record is from RNAcentral. Lineage: Bacteria; Bacillati; Bacillota; Bacilli; Caryophanales; Paenibacillaceae.
GAGUUUGAUCCUGGCUCAGGACGAACGCUGGCGGCGUGCCUAAUACAUGCAAGUCGAGCGAGGGUCUUCGGACCCUAGCGGCGGACGGGUGAGUAACACGUAGGCAACCUGCCUGUAAGACUGGGAUAACAUAGGGAAACUUAUGCUAAUACCGGAUAGGGUUUUGCUUCGCCUGAAGCGAAACGGAAAGAUGGCGCAAGCUAUCACUUACAGAUGGGCCUGCGGCGCAUUAGCUAGUUGGUGAGGUAANGGCUCACCAAGGCGACGAUGCGUAGCCGACCUGAGAGGGUGACCGGCCACACUGGGACUGAGACACGGCCCAGACUCCUACGGGAGGCAGCAGUAGGGAAUUUUCCACAAUGGACGAAAGUCUGAUGGAGCAACGCCGCGUGAACGAUGAAGGCUUUCGGGUCGUAAAGUUCUGUUGUUAGGGAAGAAACAGUGCUAUUUAAAUAAGGUAGCACCUUGACGGUACCUAACG